GGGGCUGAGUUAGGUUCGACGGAACGAUCCGCGGUUAGUGAAAGCAGGCGGAGUUGCGAGCACUCCUAAAACGAUCGCAAGCGUUUACACGCAAAUAACGAAUACGCUCUGGCUGCCUAAUCUAGGCUAGUCACGGGAUGCGAGAGGUCGCCGGAAUCAACUCGCAAACCGUCAUAAGCUCCGGCUAGAAUGAAGCGCCGAUCCGAACUUCAUUUGAAAAUUAGGAUCUGCUGCGAGCGAAAUCCCGGUUUCGAGGAGCGCGCUCGAGUAAGUCAAAUUCGAAACUGAGCCUGGAGAAAGCACUAGCCCGGCUUUUCGGACUCGGGGGGCAGUUCCCCGACAGCUCCACCA
This is a transfer-messenger RNA of 351 nucleotides. It matches the Rfam family "transfer-messenger RNA". From Rfam's summary of the family: Bacterial tmRNA, also known as 10Sa RNA or SsrA, is named for its dual tRNA and mRNA-like properties. Its role is to liberate the mRNA from a stalled ribosome.